GCAACACAGCAAAACCUGAAUUGAACCCAGGUUUGAAAGCCAGGACUGCUCUGUUCCCAAUUCUGACACUAGAUCACAAUUUAACCUUCUGAGCAUGCUGCUUUGCCACGCUGGAAAGGCCUUGCCAAACAGGAGGCAGAGAGGGAAGCAUCAGUGUUGUUCCAGCAGCUUGAAAACAACUGGAGUGGCUGGAACUGCUCUGUGAUUUCAGUUGUGGCAGAUCAACAUCUUUAUAGAGAAAGAUGAUUUAUUGCCUCAAAACCAGAAGUACAGAAUAGGUGGGAGCAGCAACACUGCUCUCAUGACAUGCUUCAUCAACGUCUAGAAGGAUCAACCUGACAGAAGAACUCAAUGCCUUGUUGUACAUUGAGAGAUGGCAUGGUGGUUCCCAGCCACAUCUUGUGUGGAGGAAACACAAGCACCAGGAAGAGUGGAAAGACACCACCAGAAGGUCCUGAACAGCUCAUCCCAGAGCUUUCCAACAUAAACCUUCAGCCACUCUUGACUGGCAGCAGGUCCAAAGGAAUGACCUCAGAAGUGAAGGCUUCUACAUCACUUCAGCCACCCAGGAUCUCUUACAUUCUCACUCUCCUGAUUAUUUAUACUGUUGUAAAACCAGAAGCAUGGAAAUUGCUGUUCACUCCCUUUCACUUCCUUUCCCUGCAACCCUACAGAAAUAGCUGAGUUACAUAAGACAGAAACACCCACAAAAUAACAAUGAAAACAGAUGUGUCAAAAACCAGAAAAACAA
Molecule: long non-coding RNA, 751 nt
Organism: Pezoporus occidentalis (night parrot)
Lineage: Eukaryota; Metazoa; Chordata; Aves; Psittaciformes; Psittacidae
Exons: 3
Source: RefSeq, a predicted model, not a curated record